Non-coding RNA from Theobroma cacao (cacao), 437 nucleotides. The record is from RefSeq and is a predicted model, not a curated record. Lineage: Eukaryota; Viridiplantae; Streptophyta; Magnoliopsida; Malvales; Malvaceae.
CAGAGUGCUUCGAAAGUCUGCAUUCUAGACAUUAAGCCUCAACAUCAUCAGGAACAACAACAGCAAAUAGCCCAAGACAACAUGAAAAAAGCUUCUGUUAGCAUGAAAUUUUUCAUCUUUCUGCUAUUUGCAUCAUCAAUGGUAUUCUCAAUGGUACCGGGAGCGCAAGGGCAACGAUGCACCACUGUAGCUGACUGCAAAGGAAUCAGGUGCAUAGACAAAACUUUAGAGUGCAGAGAUGGCCGAUGCCAAUGUGUUCCUACUUUUGGAACAAAAAUAAGUUGUUCCAAAGACUUUGACUGUAACAAAGAAGUGUGAUCCUAGAUGUAACAUCCAUAGUUAUGUUAACGAACAGUGCAGAUGUUGUGCUGCCUAAAAAACAAAAAAGUAGGCAUGAAUUGUUAUAAAAUGAAAUAAAGUUUUUAAUAUUAUAUUAU